AGAGCGAACGCUGGCGGCAGGCUUAACACAUGCAAGUCGAGCGGGCGUAGCAAUACGUCAGCGGCAGACGGGUGAGUAACGCGUGGGAACGUACCUUUUGGUUCGGAACAACCCAGGGAAACUUGGGCUAAUACCGGAUAAGCCCUUACGGGGAAAGAUUUAUCGCCGAAAGAUCGGCCCGCGUCUGAUUAGCUAGUUGGUGAGGUAAUGGCUCACCAAGGCGACGAUCAGUAGCUGGUCUGAGAGGAUGAUCAGCCACAUUGGGACUGAGACACGGCCCAAACUCCUACGGGAGGCAGCAGUGGGGAAUAUUGGACAAUGGGCGCAAGCCUGAUCCAGCCAUGCCGCGUGAGUGAUGACGGCCUUAGGGUUGUAAAGCUCUUUUGUGCGGGAAGAUAAUGACGGUACCGCAAGAAUAAGCCCGGCUAACUUCGCGCCAGCAGCCGC
RNAcentral lists this ribosomal RNA (447 nucleotides) under uncultured bacterium. RNAcentral describes it as "SSU rRNA". It matches the Rfam family "Bacterial small subunit ribosomal RNA", at positions 26 to 518 of the family's 1533-position model. The record is from RNAcentral.